This 69-nucleotide transfer RNA is filed under the name Phrynosoma platyrhinos (Desert horned lizard). RNAcentral's name for it is "tRNA-OTHER". The record is from RNAcentral. Lineage: Eukaryota; Metazoa; Chordata; Lepidosauria; Squamata; Phrynosomatidae.
UGCUGAGGCCUAGUGGUUUGAGCAUUGACUGUGACUCUGGAGACCAGGGUUCGAGUCCCAGCUUGGCCA